This 50-nucleotide small nuclear RNA is filed under the name Microcebus murinus (gray mouse lemur). RNAcentral's name for it is "U7 small nuclear RNA (ENSMICG00000043609.1)". It matches the Rfam family "U7 small nuclear RNA". Rfam says of the family: Animal histone pre-mRNAs are spliced by a different mechanism than nuclear pre-mRNAs and self-splicing introns. Lineage: Eukaryota; Metazoa; Chordata; Mammalia; Primates; Cheirogaleidae. The record is from RNAcentral.
AAUAGUUACAGCUCUUUUAGAAUUUGUCUAGGUCCUUGCAGAAGACCCCC